RNAcentral lists this ribosomal RNA (499 nucleotides) under uncultured bacterium. RNAcentral's name for it is "partial 16S ribosomal RNA". It matches the Rfam family "Bacterial small subunit ribosomal RNA", at positions 28 to 506 of the family's 1533-position model. The record is from RNAcentral.
GACGAACGCUGGCGGCGUGCUUAACACAUGCAAGUCGAACGGGUCUGCCCUGUUUUUUGCGGGGUGGGUCAGUGGCGAACGGGUGAGUAACACGUGAGUAACCUGCCCCUCACUUCUGGAUAGCCGCUUGAAAGGGUGGCUAAUACGGGGUGUUCUGGCUGUGCCGCAUGGUGUGGCUGGGAAAGAUUCACUUUUGUGGUGUUUUGGUGGGGGAUGGGCUCGCGGCCUAUCAGCUUGUUGGUGGGGUGAUGGCCUGCCAAGGCUUUGACGGGUAGCCGGCCUGAGAGGGUGGGCGGUCACACUGGGACUGAGAUACGGCCCAGACUCCUGCGGGAGGCAGCAGUGGGGGGUAUUGCACAAUGGGCGGAAGCCUGAUGCAGCGACGUCGCGUGAGGGAUGGAGGCCUUCGGGUUGUGAACCUCUUUCGCCGGUGAAGAAGGUCCUGCUCUUUGUGGUGGGGUUGACGGUAGCCGGGUUAUGAAGCGCCGGCUAACUACGU